Molecule: long non-coding RNA, 494 nt
Organism: Neofelis nebulosa (Clouded leopard)
Lineage: Eukaryota; Metazoa; Chordata; Mammalia; Carnivora; Felidae
Exons: 3
Source: RefSeq, a predicted model, not a curated record
AUAAAAAGGCCCUGGAAGACAAGUGUAAUGCAUUGAGGUCUGUGAAAGCAACAAAGGAAGCAAAAGUCAAACAGCUGAAGGAGAAAGCACAUAACCUGGAAGAAUUCUAUGAACAAAGAAAAGUGCCUACAGAAAAGAUAGGUGAAGGUGGAGGCAGGGGUUGCAAUCCUGAACUCUAGCGAUGUCUGGGAGUGAGCUGCAAUGUUGGUGAAGCCAUAUCCUGGAAGGUCGUCUUUCAGGGAAGCUGAAAAUGACACUGUGAACUGGCGGCAAAGAAGAAUCAGCUGGCAGCUGCAGGUAAAAUUUGAAAAUAGCUACAGAAGGGGAGCCUGGGGGGCUCAGUCAUUUAAGUGUCCAACUUCAGCUCAGGUCAUAAUUUCACAGUCCGUGAGUUUGAGCUCCAUGUCAGGCUCUGUGCUGACAGCUCAGAGCCUGGAGCCUGCUUCGGAUUCUGUUACCUCUCUCUCUGUGCCUCCCCUGCUCAUGUGCUCGCG